GGGGAAUUUUCCGCAAUGGGCGCAAGCCUGACGGAGCAAGACCGCGUGAGGGAGGAAGGCUCUUGGGUUGUAAACCUCUUUUAUCAGGGAAGAAGAUCUGACGGUACCUGAUGAAUCAGCAUCGGCUAACUCCGUGCCAGCAGCCGCGGUAAUACGGAGGAUGCAAGCGUUAUCCGGAUUUAUUGGGCGUAAAGCGUCCGCAGGUGGUUAUUCAAGUCUGCUGUUAAGGCGCGAGGCUUAACCUUGUACAGGCAGUGGAAACUGGAUGACUGGAGUAUGGUAGGGGUAGCGGGAAUUCCCAGUGUAGCGGUGAAAUGCGUAGAUAUUGGGAAGAACACCAGCGGCGAAAGCGCGCUACUGGGCCAUUACUGACACUCAUGGACGAAAGCUAGGGGAGCGAAAGGGAUUAGAUACCCCUGUAGUCCUAGCUGUAAACGAUGGGUACUAGGUGUUGACCGUAUCGACCCGGUCAGUGCCGUAGCUAACGCGUUAAGUACCCCGCCUGGGGAGUAUGCACGCAAGUGUGAAACUCAAAGGAAUUGACGGGGGCCCGCACAAGCGGUGGAGUAUGUGGUUUAAUUCGAUGCAACGCGAAGAACCUUACCAGGGCUUGACAUGUCGCGAACCUCGGUGAAAGUCGAGGGUGCCUUCGGGAGCGCGAACACAGGUGGUGCAUGGCUGUCGUCAGCUCGUGUCGUGAGAUGUUGGGUUAAGUCCCGCAACGAGCGCAACCCUCGUUUUUAGUUGCCAGCAUUGAGUUGGGCACUCUAGAGAGACUGCCGGUGACAAACCGGAGGAAGGUGGGGAUGACGUCAAGUCAGCAUGCCCCUUACGUCCUGGGCUACACACGUACUACAAUGCUUCGGACAAAGGGUUGCGAGCUAGCGAUAGCAAGCUAAUCCCGUAAACCGAGGCUCAGUUCAGAUUGCAGGCUGCAACUCGCCUGCAUGAAGGAGGAAUCGCUAGUAAUCCCAGGUCAGCAUACUGGGGUGAAUACGUUCCCGGGCCUUGUACACACCGCCCGUCACACCAUGGGAGUUGGCCACGCCCGAAGUCGUUACUCCAACCGCUUGCGGAGGAGGAUGCCGAAGGCAGGGCUGAUGACUGGGGUGAAGUCGUAACAAGGUAGCCGUACCGGAAGGUGUGGCUGGAUCACCUCCUU
RNAcentral lists this ribosomal RNA (1162 nucleotides) under Stenomitos kolaensis Pasv_RS28. RNAcentral describes it as "bacterial SSU rRNA". It matches the Rfam family "Bacterial small subunit ribosomal RNA", at positions 356 to 1532 of the family's 1533-position model. Lineage: Bacteria; Bacillati; Cyanobacteriota; Cyanophyceae; Leptolyngbyales; Leptolyngbyaceae. RNAcentral also lists the same sequence under 1 other name. The record is from RNAcentral.